Scophthalmus maximus (turbot) is the source of this 1210-nucleotide long non-coding RNA. RefSeq lists it as uncharacterized. The transcript is spliced from 2 exons. Lineage: Eukaryota; Metazoa; Chordata; Actinopteri; Pleuronectiformes; Scophthalmidae. The record is from RefSeq and is a predicted model, not a curated record.
GAAGUGUACGGUUGUGUCCUGCUGUUGGUGGUUUGUGUGUGUGUGUGUGUUUCCAAGUCCGUUUCCCUGCUGACAGUGAGUCAGGGCCACUGCAACUAGCGGUUUUAUAAAUAGAGCCAGGAGGGAAGCUUCAAAGCCUCACUGUCAUUACGGCUCCGCGGAAGAAAGAAGAAAGUACCAGCGAGAAACGCUGGAGAAGCAGCAGCGUGACAGAGAGACAGAGAGAGAGAGAGAGUGACAUCAUUUCCUGUCUGAGGCACAGAAUCGUUGCUCACAGCUUUAUACGAACUGAUACAUCAGCCGUCGUCCAAAACCCGACGAUGCAAUAAAGAUGUUGGCUGCUGCUUCGUGCAGCGGCUGAAUCAGACGGUGCAGAGACGCUGGAUGCUUGACUGGCCUGAUUUAUAACUCACCACCCACAUUCACAUGGACACGGUCUGUUCCCACAGCUCCGCCCGGGUGUAGUUUGAAUGAAUGUGUGUGUGUGUAACACAUGUGACAAAAGGAGAGGGGGGGGGGGGUGCAGGCGUGACAUAAAACAGGGAGCAGAGGAGACUCUGACGGAGAUGAAGAGGGAACCCGAGCAACGAGGAGACGAGGAUGAAGAGAACGGUCGUCGUGACGUUCCAGAGCAGCAUUCCUGCUCCCAGACAGACGCUGAUGGGAGUUUCACUGACACUGUCAUGCUCAACGGACAAACUGAUGCUCAGUUCUGCCUAACAAACUGUGUAACAUAGAGCCAACUAUCUGUGUGUCUGUCUAUCAUCUUGUUCCUGCUCUAAAUAGGUAAAAGUUAUGAGUCUAAUACGUAUAUCAUAUUAUGGAAUUAUGAAUGCCGUUGGAGUAACAGCCGUUCUUCCAAUUGUACAUCUGUGAAUACAAAAUUAGCCUUCAGCCUGAUGAUGAGCAUCGUAUCAACCUCCUCAUCUCACUGUCUGCAGGUUAAUAAGUGUAUUCACCUUCAAAUUCAACAUUCAACAUCAUUUAAAUGUUUUUCUAUUCCCCCUUCGACAUCUCCAGUGUUUCCUGCCCGAGUCACAUUUAUUAUAUCUCACUGUGUCUGGAGCAGACGACGUCUGACACCACUUGUUAAAAGUGAAGAUAUAGGAAGCGUGAGGACGAGGGAUGAAAAUCCACGGCAUGAUGAGUAACACUGAGUAACUGACUGACUGACUGACUGACUGGAUGAAUAAAUGAAUGAAUGAAUGAA